AGGACCCUUUCUCCUAAAAAAAGAAAAAGAAAAAGAGGUGCCUUUCUCCAAUAAAAGGAGCGAACUCCCUCUCUCCUCUGCAACAAGAAGAAAAGCCCUUCCUCUCUUCCGCUCAAUCCUCAACUCUCUCUCUCUCUCUCUCUCUAUCAGUCUAUCUCACGCCUCCCUCUCUCUCGGAAUGACAGUGGAUUAAAGGAAGAACAUGAGGUAUUGGUCUCUCUCUUCCACUUAAUUUCGUCUCUCUCUCCUCAAAACCAGAAUUGUUGCUCUUUUUGCACAAAAGCUGGAGGAAGACGAAAAUGGAGGGUUAAAGUGGAACGGGGACUACUACCAAGCCUGCCAGCAUCCAAGUAAGCAAGCAUCAUAAACUCCCAAUAAAAAUGAUAAGUAUGCUUUUAUAAAUGACUUCUGUUAACAGUUGGGAGAUCUCGAUCCUUGUCUACAUAAAGGCACAUGCCAGGUUUUAUUUUAAUACCUAACUGUUGGUAUAUGCCAUGAUUAUGAUUAUAAUGCACAUGAAGUACCUUAAUGUUUGGUA
Molecule: long non-coding RNA, 538 nt
Organism: Corylus avellana
Lineage: Eukaryota; Viridiplantae; Streptophyta; Magnoliopsida; Fagales; Betulaceae
Source: RefSeq, a predicted model, not a curated record